GUCUCAGUAGUCCCUUGAGGAAUAGGUAAGCAGAGCCAGCUGCAAAGAUUUAUUACUGCCUUGGAGUUUUAGGAAUGCUAGGGAAAGUAGUCUUUAAAAAAAACUUUCACACCUACAAGCAAAUAGAAUAUAUGUAAUAUUCUAUACAUAGAAGAUAUAUCUCUCAUGUCUUCUAUGUAUGGAAGAUAUAUAAAUUAAUAUAUUUAACAUAUAAUAUUAAUUAUAU
RNAcentral lists this long non-coding RNA (226 nucleotides) under Homo sapiens (human). Its description in RNAcentral is "non-protein coding lnc-POU3F2-6:1". Lineage: Eukaryota; Metazoa; Chordata; Mammalia; Primates; Hominidae. The record is from RNAcentral.